RNAcentral lists this transfer RNA (73 nucleotides) under Canis lupus familiaris (dog). It matches the Rfam family "tRNA". From Rfam's summary of the family: Transfer RNA (tRNA) molecules are approximately 80 nucleotides in length. Their secondary structure includes four short double-helical elements and three loops (D, anti-codon, and T loops). Further hydrogen bonds mediate the characteristic L-shaped molecular structure. tRNAs have two regions of fundamental functional importance: the anti-codon, which is responsible for specific mRNA codon recognition, and the 3' end, to which the tRNAs corresponding amino acid is attached (by aminoacyl-tRNA synthetases). tRNAs cope with the degeneracy of the genetic code in two manners: having more than one tRNA (with a specific anti-codon) for a particular amino acid; and 'wobble' base-pairing, i.e. permitting non-standard base-pairing at the 3rd anti-codon position. The record is from Rfam by way of RNAcentral. Lineage: Eukaryota; Metazoa; Chordata; Mammalia; Carnivora; Canidae. RNAcentral also lists the same sequence under 1 other name.
GCCUGGUAGGCUCAGUAGAUAGAGCAUGCAACUCUUGAUCUCAGGGCUGUGAGUUCAAGCCCCACAUUGGGCA